AGUGAACGCUGGCGGUAGGCCUAACACAUGCAAGUCGAACGGCAGCACAGUAAGAGCUUGCUCUUACGGGUGGCGAGUGGCGGACGGGUGAGGAAUACAUCGGAAUCUACUUUUUCGUGGGGGAUAACGUAGGGAAACUUACGCUAAUACCGCAUACGACCUACGGGUGAAAGCAGGGGAUCUUCGGACCUUGCGCGAUUGAAUGAGCCGAUGUCGGAUUAGCUAGUUGGCGGGGUAAAGGCCCACCAAGGCGACGAUCCGUAGCUGGUCUGAGAGGAUGAACAGGCACAAUGGAAGUGAGACACGGUACAGUCGCCGCAGGCCGGCACCAGUGGGGUCUAGUGGGGAAGGGGGGCAUGCUGGUGCUAUACAUAUUUCGUGGGAAAAGAAGGCAUCCGGGUUGUAAAGCCCUUUUUCUGGGAAAGAAAAGCAGAACGCUACUACCUAGCUCGGCUGAAGGGACCCAAAGAAUAAGCACCGGAUCACUCCGUG
RNAcentral lists this ribosomal RNA (492 nucleotides) under uncultured bacterium. RNAcentral's name for it is "partial 16S ribosomal RNA". It matches the Rfam family "Bacterial small subunit ribosomal RNA", at positions 29 to 507 of the family's 1533-position model. The record is from RNAcentral.